Molecule: RNA transcript, 12686 nt
Organism: Chroicocephalus ridibundus (black-headed gull)
Lineage: Eukaryota; Metazoa; Chordata; Aves; Charadriiformes; Laridae
Gene: FHOD3
Gene name: formin homology 2 domain containing 3
Exons: 31
Source: RefSeq, a predicted model, not a curated record
GGCCGGGAAUGGGCGAGCUCCUGCCGCCGCUGCUCUGCCCGCGUCCCCCGGCUCCGGCGCCGCCUCCUUUCUCGGCCUGAAGCGCGCCUGCACUCGUGAACCCCGGCGGGGAAGGGGCCAUGGGCCGCCUCCCCGAGGCGCGGCGGCUGUGAGGCGGCCGGCGCUCGCUCGGGGAGCCGGGUAGGCGGCCGGCUAGCCAGCCAGCCAGCCAGCCUGUGCCGCGGGAGGGGGGGGUGGCUACGGCCGGGAGGGGAGGUGCCGCUCCCAGCCGGCGGCGGGCACACCGGCGGACACCCAGCGCCUCGGUGCCGGUGACUCGGGGGUGCCCGCUCGCCGCCCGCGCCCCCACCGCCGCCGCGGCGGCGGAUGGAUGGAUGCGGCAUGGCCACGCUGGUGUGCCGGGUGCAGCUGCUGGAUGACACCGACCCCUUCAACAGCACCAACUUCCCCGAGCCCACCCGGCCGCCGCUGUACACCUUCCGGGAGGACAUCCCGCUCGCCACCCAGCUGGCCGGGGUUCACCGCCUCCUGCGUGCCCCGCAGAAGCUUGAUGACUGCACCCUGCAAUUGUCUCACAAUGGUACCUAUCUGGAUCUAGAAUCCACCCUAGCAGAACAAAGAGAUGAAUUGGAAGGCUUCCAGGAAGAUGCUGGGAGGGGCAAGAAGCACAGUAUAAUUCUGAGGACCCAGCUGUCGGUGAGAGUCCAUGCCUGCAUUGAAAAACUUUACAAUUCCAAUGGACGGGAGCUGAGACGGGCACUUUUCUCCUUGAAACAAAUAUUUCAGGAUGACAAGGACUUGGUUCAUGAAUUUGUUGUCGCUGAAGGUCUGACUUGCUUAAUCAAAGUAGGAGCGGAGGCCGACCAGAAUUAUCAGAACUACAUCCUGAGAGCUUUGGGACAGAUUAUGCUCUAUGUUGAUGGCAUGAAUGGCGUAAUAAAUCAUAAUGAAACCAUCCAAUGGCUGUACACACUUAUUGGGUCAAAGUUCCGCUUGGUGGUAAAGACAGCACUGAAGCUGCUGCUGGUGUUUGUGGAAUAUACCGAAUCCAACGCACCGCUUUUAAUCCAGGCAGUAUCUACCGUUGAUGAAAAGAGAGGAGCCAAGCCGUGGUCCAACAUCAUGGAGAUCCUGGAGGAGAAGGAUGGGGUUGAUACUGAGCUACUGGUUUAUGCAAUGACAUUGGUUAACAAGACGCUGUCGGGGUUGCCAGAUCAAGACUCUUUCUACGACGUGGUGGACUGUCUGGAAGAGCUAGGCAUUGAAGCUAUUUCACAGAGACACUUGAACAAGAAAGGAACAGACUUGGACUUAGUUGAGCAAUUUAACAUUUAUGAGCUGACCCUGAGACAUGAGGAUGGCGAUGAGAGUGCUGACCCCCCUCCCAGUGGGCGCAAGGACCGGAGAAGGGCCAGUCUUGGUGCUAGUGAGCGAAGGGGGCUGGAGCGCCGCCGGAGCCGCAGGCACUCGGUACAGAACGUCAAAAGCACUUUAUCAGCCCCUGCGAGUCCAUGCAGUCAGUCGAACCCUAGCUUCAUGCUGGGCCAUGGACAGCGUGUUGAAGACCUCAGUGAGAGUGAGCUGGAGGCUGAGCGCCCCAUGGUCUUACAGGCUGAUGAUGAGGAUGACAGUGCAUUUGAGGCUGAGUUUAAAGCAUCUUCAGUAGAGGAUGAAGAGUAUGAAGAGGAAGAAGAAGAACAGCCAGUCACAGAGCCCAAUACUGAGGAUGAGGGGGAGGAAGAGACCAGUAGGCAGGUCAAAGCCAGUGGGGUCCCAUGUGCUCGGGAGGCUGUGAAUGAAAACCUUUCACAGUGUUCUGAUUCUUCAGCCGUCUCCAGUGCCAUUUCUCCAGCUGAGAGGCCUCUCUCCUGCUCUAGAGCAAAAAGCUCUUCUAGCAGCUCCUCUUCUGUGCCUGAUUCAUCUGUCUCUCAUCAUAACUCUGUCCUUUCGUCACCAUCUUCACCUGCGGCAGCAUUGCUGAGCUCUUCCCAAAAUUCAUCAUCAUCCAUUACUCCAAAGGCAUCUCCAACGGUGGAGAAAUUACCUUAUGUACCACAUACUCCUUUUCACCUCUUCUCCUACGACUUUGAAGAGUCUCCAGCAUCUGUGAAAGAAAAGGAAGCAGAGGUGAUGAGGGAAAACAGAUACAAUAGCUAUGGCAGCAGCUCCUACUCUUCUCCACGACCUUACGCUGGUGUGAGUGCCCCUGCAACACCCACUUCUCGUUAUGGGACAGCACUCUCGCCACCUCAAGAGGCCAAAUCUGACAGGCCAGCUUUGGGUGGUCUCCUUACAUCAUCUUUUCGGCAGCACCAGGAGUCCUUGGCAGCAGAAAGAGAAAGACGACGUCAGGAAAGAGAAGAAAGGUUGCAAAGGAUAGAACGCGAAGAAAGAAACAAAUUCAACCGUGAUUAUUUAGACAAAAGAGAAGAACUAAGACAAGCAAGAGAAGAGAGAUACAAAUACUUGGAGAGGUUGGCAGCAGAGGAGUAUGAGAAGGAGCUGAAGAGUCGGAGCGUAAGCCGAGGCAGAAGUGAGCUGUCCUUGAACCUGAGAUCUCCUUCAGCCCCAUCCUCGCCUGUACCCAAGUGCAUCAGCCCAGCAUCCAUAGAGUCCCAGGAAGAGCUGAAGACCCCUCCCACCCCUUGUGGGACCCCUCAGCCCUCAGAAGUGAGUGCCAGUGAACCCGAACCAGAGACAGAGACAGAACCAGAACCAGAGCAGGAGGCUGAGGCCGAGCAGGGAACGGAGACACCCAAGGAAAUAGAGGCUACAGAGGUGGGACCAGAGAGUGAGGUGGAGCAAGGACCAGAGAGAGAGCCAGAAGAAAGUGCAAUACUCAGUGAAAAAGAGAGGCAGAAUGAGGAAGUGAAUGAAAAAGACAACUGCUCUGCAUCCAGCAUAUCCUCAGCAAGCAGCACUUUAGAGAGGGAAGAGAGAGAGGACAAGUUAACCAGUGACAAUGAAACUGGUCCAUGGUCGCAGACCAUUCAGGAUGCUGGUGUGAAUGAGCAGUGCAGCAACAUCCUCAACAACAAGCGGUUUAUGCUGGACAUGUUGUAUGCGCAUAACAAAAAGCCCAAGGAUGAAGAGGAGAAGGAGCUGGAGGCGAAGGAGGAAAAGAAGGAGACGGAGGAAAGCGAGGAGUCACUCACUAGCCUAGCCAGUAGGAUCUCUAUCCUUCAGGCCACAAAGCAGGCCAAAGACGAAAGUGUCAAAAAGAUGGAGAUCGGAAAUCUGGACAACCAAGGCAGCGUGAAAGCCUUUGCAGAAAAAUUCAACAGUGGUGAGCUGGCCAAGGGGACAGCCAUGCCUGAAGAUGAAAUCAGUGAACAGGUCCCUGAGAAAACACCAGCACAGCCAAAGAAGGAAUCUGACUACAUCUGGGAUCAGCUCAUGGCUAAUCCUAGAGAACUUAAAAUCAAAGACAUGGAUUUUACGGACUUGGGGGAGGAGGAUGAUGUAGAUGUGUUGGACAUGGAUAUGGGUCCUGGGGACUCCCUUGUUCCCCCUCCUCCACCUCCACCUUCUUUUCUGGGUUUGCCUCCUCCACCACCUCCCCCGCUGUUUGGAUGCCCACCUCCACCUCCACCCUCUGCUAAUUUAUUGGCUCCUCCUCCACUGUUCAGCUCUCCUCAGGGUUUAGGGUCACCCCAGGUUUCUAGGGGUCAGCCAGCAUUUAUAAAGAAGAAGAAAACCAUCCGUCUGUUCUGGAACGAGGUACGGCCAUUUGAGUGGCAGUGUAAAAACAACAAACGCUGCAGAGAAUUCCUGUGGUCGAAACUGGAACCCAUUAAGGUGGACACUUCCAAACUGGAGCAUCUCUUUGAGUCUAAAUCCAAGGAACUGCCUGUCACGAAGAAAACUGCUGCAGAUGGGAAGCGACAGGAGAUCAUUGUGUUAGACUCAAAACGAAGCAACGCUAUUAAUAUUGGCUUGACUGUGUUGCCCCCUCCCCGGACUAUCAAGACUGCUAUUUUGAACUUUGACGAAUAUGCCUUAAACAAGGAAGGAAUAGAGAAAAUCCUGACCAUGAUCCCGACAGAAGAGGAGAAGCAAAAGAUCCAGGAGGCGCAGCUGGCGAACCCCGACGUCCCCCUGGGCAGCGCCGAGCAGUUCCUUCUCACCCUCUCCUCCAUCAGCGAACUCUCCGCCAGGCUCCAGCUCUGGGCUUUCAAGAUGGACUACGAGAUAGUGGAAAAGGAAGUUGCAGAACCACUUUUAGACCUGAAGGAAGGAAUGGAUCAACUGGAGCACAAUAAAACUUUGGGAUUUAUCCUUUCUACUCUACUAGCCAUUGGGAACUUUCUGAAUGGAACCAACGCCAAAGCUUUUGAGUUGAGCUACCUCGAGAAGGUUCCAGAAGUCAAGGACACGGUGCAUAAGCAGUCCCUCCUGCACCACGUCUGCACUAUGGUGGUGGAAAAGUUCCCAGACAGCACUGAUCUUUAUUCAGAGAUCGGGGCCAUCACUAGGUCAGCCAAGGUUGACUUUGAACAACUCCAGGAAAACUUAUGUCAGAUGGAAAGACGGUGUAAGGCAUCAUGGGAUCACCUUAAGGCCAUAGCAAAGCAUGAAAUGAAGCCAAGUCUAAAGCAAAAAAUGUCCGAAUUCCUUAAAGACUGUGCAGAAAGAAUCAUAAUCCUGAAGAUUGUUCAUAGAAGAAUAAUUAACAGGUUUCACUCCUUUUUGUUAUUUAUGGGCCAUCCUCCCUAUGCAAUACGUGAAGUCAACAUCAAUAAGUUCUGCAAAAUUAUUAGCGAAUUUGCUCUGGAAUACCGCACCACCAGGGAACGAGUUUUGCAGCAAAAACAGAAACGAGCUAACCACAGGGAAAGAAACAAGACCAGGGGGAAAAUGAUAACAGAUACCGAUGAAGAAGAGGAUGUUGAGUCUGGCAAGUUCUCCAGCAGCUCGCCCCCCUGCCAGAGCCAGCCCCAGGGGCUGCAGUAUGCCGAGGACGCUGCGGAGCACGAGAACAUGAAGGCCGUGCUGAAGACCUCCUCCGUCGGCGGGGAAAGCACCACGGCGCUCGGGGUCCGCACUCGAAGCCGGGCCAGCCGAGGCCGUAUCGGUUCGUGGAACGCUGGCAACGACGAUUCACCUAAUGCAACAGAUGAUGCAGCAGAUGAGAUCAUGGAUCGCAUUGUAAAGUCCGCCACCCAAGUGCCAAGCCAGCGAGCGGUGCCUAGAGAGAGGAAGCGGUCACGAGCAAAUAGGAAGUCAUCUUUUCUGGGAAGUUAGGACAAAGAGGAGACAACAACAGUACCUUUUUCCCAAGGAAGCACUUGCGGCAGGAAAAAAAAAAGCCAAAACAAAACAGGAUAAUGAUAAUAAAAAUACUAUCUAUUUUUCCAUGGAGCUGGCUUUUCUAUUCAGUAAAAACAUUAACAGGGAUUAAGCAUUCAGUAAAUGUUUAGGCUAGGACUGAUUUCCAUUGUAAUUAAUCAUGAUAGAACCCAGUUCCUUUGUUUGUUUGCUCUUCAAGAUCUGGAUGAGGCUCGUAAGUGGAUUAAAAGGCAGUUUCAAAACAAACAUAAAGUUCAGCAGUUUAGCGUGACUUUCAGCUGACACGAUGAAAGAAAGUGUGAAAGGAGAAUAUCUUAACUGAGCUGUUUCACUCUGAUAGAUAUUCAGUAUACCUGGAUGAUGAGUAAACGAAGUAGUUUAGCUGUAAAAUACACUCAGCUGGACUGAUAAUGUGCCACCUCCAGGAAAUGAACAGUGGCCGGCUCUUUUCAAUGCAUGAUGUGAGUUCAACGAGCAGAAGAUCUUCCAGGCAGAAAUAUAACUCGGGUUCUCCAUAAACAUAUUAAAAAGUAGAUUUCUAGGCAUAAUUCAAGGAUCUAGAUUAACAGACGCUAUGAUAUUUAUUAUCUGCAGAGAUAAUAAAGAGACCCUAUUAUCUGGUGGGUUUGAUUCACCACCUUCAAUCUUCAGGCUCCCAUACACAUUCUUUAGCUUUUACCAUCAGCUUGGUAUUCAAUCUGCUCGUGGACAUCAAAGCAAAACGCGGUUGAAAGGAAUGAUUUUCACUGUGCAUUAUGUUGCGUAUGUCUCACUGCUUUCAGUGCAGAACUGAAAAUCUUGUCAGGCUUACUUAGCAAUCAGCAACGAUUUUACUGAACCUGAGCUGAGAUACAUGUUUUUAGCAAAAUCAGAAACCCAAAAGAGGUAUAUGCAGUUGCACUGUAAAAUUUCCUGUGGUUCAGGUAGAAGAUUCUCAUGGGCAACAGAUUUUUUUUCCAUUAAAAAAAGACGGAAAAAUGUGAAGUGAAAACAAGUGAUACUCGAGUCGUUUAUAACUAGGGGAAAACAGAAACAGGGAUAUAGAAAAGGUUAAAUUAAAUUCAAGAAAUAGUUAUACAGGAAAAUGAGAUAUUUGACAUGUUCAUUUGAACCGUUUUAGCUCUUGCAAUUGUUGAGCAGCGGAGCUGUGUCUGGUAUGCAGAGAGCUUAGAUCUUAAUGACGUAGAAGAGUUUGAACUCAGAGCAAUCAGCAGAACCAUAAAUUGGGAGGAGAAAUAAGGCAGUGAGUCAUCCAACAAAAGACAGAUGGAAGCGUCUGUAUCUGUUGGUUGAAGAUACGAGGGGUCACUGAUAAAUCCAGAUAUGACUGAAGUCAACUGAGACCUAGUAGGGAGGAAUUUGUUCCGUGGGAGAUGAAGUGGACUACAGAAAGCUAAGGCACCUGUGAGAAGGACACUAAAGAGCGGACUGACACCAGAAGAAGCCAAAGCACUGGGCCUCAUCAGCACCUCUGAGAUGCAGGUUUGACGUCCCAGAGGUGGCGACAAGAAGAGCCGUUCAUCUGAAGCACACAGGCUGACAACCCUUCGGUGUGGCAUUGACCUGCCAGCCUCCUCUGCUGCUCCCAACGUCCCGUCCUCUCUUAUUUUCAUUCUAAUAAGCAACAAAAGUGGAACCCCACAGCCAGGGCAGAAGAAGGGUGUGCCGCAGCUCAGCCCGACACCCGGACAGUAACUGAGGAAGCGUUUGAGUGCUUGUAGGUGAAGGCAUAUGGCUGUUUCUUCUUUCAUGGUGUGUUGAUGUGGGUAGGAGGGGGCUCUCUCUGAGUUACCUGUCAUGUGAGCUGUGUUUACGUUGGCUUUUCCUUGUGCCCUGUUUUAGUCAUUGUAAAUGUACAGCAUCUUGUCAAUGCAAGGAACAGUCCUUAAAGAGGCAAAAUAGCUCCUGUUACAGCGACCCCAAUUUUCCUGAAGCAGAUUCAUUAAGCAGAGAUGCACAGUCUGCGCAGCCCUGUGGUUUGGGGUUUUUUAUCAUUAGUAUUUUGCCACCAAAGAAUGUAAAAAUGUAUGUGUACCUCUGUAUAUGUACAGAAUGAAUGUGUGGACGUGUGUGCAUGUGUCUAUACACAUACAGUCAUGGUGUGAAAUCAUGCUCCUGCUGAAGCUAGCUGGGCUGUGAUUUUCACUCUGGGGCCUUACUGUUCCACCUGGACAGGAGGAAAAGAGUAUCUUUUUGUAGGAACUCAGUGCCACUCAAUGGGAUUCACCCUGUGGGGCAGGAGACGGCCUGCCAUGCAAGUGGAAAGUUUAGGGUCCUGAAUUCCUGUGUAUUAAUACACACUCAUACUGUACAUAGCAGCAUGCACACAGAGGAGAGGGCACAGAACACCUCCCUCUUGUUGAGCUGUGGCUGUACCGUGCAUUUGUACAGUUUCAAAGAGAUCUCCGCCAACAAUUUUACAUACUCGAUAAAUGCAUUCAGAUGCUAAGAUCAAGAAGUUUUGUUCACUUGCCUGUGCCCUUCAUGCUGCUUUUCUCUGCUGCAAGAUAACGUGGUGGUGAUUUUAUUUCAAAUUCAUGGAUCUGAAUAUGAAAUGGCCCUGCUAAAAGCCUGCUGUGUUUUUGCUGUUCUUUACUCUUUUUUAUGAUUAUCCUUGAUGCAAGUGGAGAGGGUACCACAGCGAACACUCCAAUAUGUUUGCCCUUAUCUCGCUGUUUUAUAACUGACUUUUGUAACUGCCCUCAGCAUGUGUGUUUGAAGAACUUUUAGUCAACUCAUCUGCCUUUAAGUGGAGGACAUAUACAGCAGAGAAGGUGAAUUGAACACAGUCACCCUAGCCAGUGCUGAAACAUUUUGAAGAGAACUGCAAACAACCGUAAUGUAAAAGGGAACUUUUUAAGCCAAAGUCUGUAUAUGACCAGUUGAUCCUCAAGGAUGCACAAGAUUCUCUCUUUCCAUUGCCUUAGCCUCUAAGAUUAAGGGUGUGUCUGCACAGCAGUAACAGCUGAGGCUUCCUUGAUGCUAGUUAACUGGGGAAGUGCAGCAAUGUAGUCAUGGUAACAGAGUUCAAUUUUGGCUACAAAACACACUUGAAAAGUAGAAUUAAUUAAUAAUCUCUGCUGGGCUCCUAAUGCCAUAGCGAUGUUGCUUCUGGUACCCAAGCUAGGUCAGGUACGUCAGCAAGUUAUUCUACUCUGCUCUCAUUAGGGACAGGCUAAUCGCUGAAGAUUGUUCAAGAUAGUUGAACAAAACACAAUAAACCUUUGCAGCCUCGGUCAUCCAUCACAUUGCAUUCAGCAGAGCAUCCAAGUGAUGAGAGAAGCAGGCAGCUGAUAACACUGCAGUGAGAUCUGUGGUGGAACAUCCUAGCUAUGCUGUCCCUCUCUUGAUCGAAACAUUUCAUUCUUUGUUUGCCGUUGCCUUGGAUCUUCACGUGUCAAAAUCCAUGGGUAAGAAGCCACUAAUGAGCAAUGGUUCUUAAGGAUAGCAUUGAGUUUGAUCUGGUUUUCCCCUCAGCUUGUUAAAAAGUCAAUCGUACAAGUAGACAGAAGGCGACAGUUGUGUAAUUAAUAAAGUGCGGUGUGUAUUUGGAAGCUAUGUAAAGGAGGAAGCUGGUUAGGAAACAGAAAGAAGUGGCAUAUAAUUAAUUUCACUGUAAAAUAAGCAAGACCUACGAGCAUCUGGAUUUUGAAGUGGAUCUUUAUGUGCUGCUUAUCAUUAGGGACUUUUAAAAUCUCUCCUAAGAAUGCUUAGAACAAAGAAAUGAAGGUAAUGGGGGUUUGUGGAGGUCUUUGAGGUCUGAAACAAGAGGAAGACACCCUGAACGUCAUGGUCAUGUUGAACUGCAAUAUUUGCUAAGUGAUAAAAGAAGCAAAAAUGCAACAGAAUGCAUUUAUGCUGCCAGAGGUCCUAUAUGUGGUUGGAGGGAGAAAAUCAAACAAGUUUUUAAAACUGAAUAUUUUAAUUAAAAUAUGCUGAGUGUGCAAAGUAGGUGGCUUUUGGUGGCCACUUGCUAACAGGAAACAAAUUUGUGCUUCAUUUAGACAUAGUACAGCAUCUGUGUCUGAAACUUAACGUAGCUGAUGAAUUACUAAUAGUGGGGCAUAUGUGUUCUCCAAGAAUUGUGCAAAAAUUGUGCAGAACUUUGUAUGUUCCUUAUCGAGGAGAAAAUUAAAUUUGGGGAGUGGGGUUCAGGAAAAAAAGCUGGUUUCCUUCAGAUUCUCUGGAUGCAAGUGUCUUACAUGUGAAGCAUAUUCAUCCUUGUCUGUUUUUCCAUUAUGUUUUUCUGUAUUUUUGCCUAAGUUCCCACUCUCUAUCUGUAAAACCGAUAUCCAUAAAUUUCUGAAGGAUAAGUUGGUCUUGUUUAUGCAGUGGUGUACAGUCGGAUUAAUUCCUCUGUCCUCAGUGUUUACUGCAACAAGAUGAUUGAGCACAGUAACAAUGCAAGAACUACAGAAAAGAUUUCCAUUUUGGUUCACGACAGAAAUGGCCAGCGGCCAAUCUGUAAGGUGACAGCCGUUCCUCCGGAGUCUGCUAGCAUGUCCUGACGGUGGGCAUAACAUUUGUUCCCCUUCAUCUAACUAGUGGAUUCCAGAUGAAACGGAGGAAUUGGUUAUAUUUGCAUGCCUGUGUCUGUCUGCCUAAUCAGGCUGUAACCUUCAGGGUUUGAGUUGCUGCCUGCUCCUCCAUCAUCAAAAGAGCUCACCGUAAGGAUGUAACAGUUGUUUUAAAACGUGUGUGAGAUACGGAUUGGUUUUGUGACAAAUAUAAAGGUCUUGGAAACACGAUGUAGUAACACAUGUUCCUGUUUCUCACUUAGAGAUCCACGAAGGCUGAUUUUAAACACUUGCAGCCGUAGUAACUACCUCUCUUCUCUUUCUCGUAGUACCAGUCAGCUGCAAACGUAGUGCCCAGGGUUUUGUAUCUCCACCAAGCUCUCAGAGUCGCUGCUGGUGUUCAUUUCAGCACCCAUCUGCUGCCAAUAACUUGUCUGUCCGUCUACCACCAUAAUGCCUUCCUGAUUUGAAAGCCGAGGUAAACUUUAGCAUAUGAAAAGGCCGCCAAAGGGAAGCUAUCCUAAUUUCCUUUCAUCUCCCUUGGUGUUUAAAAGCAGACUGGAUACAAAUACUUUGUAUUCCCUCACUCCCAACUGAGGGAUAACUUUCAGUAGCAGUUAUGUGGCUGCGGUGAAGGAACACCCCCAGGGAAAGCUGUGUGCCACAAUUGAGAGUGAAGGAUCCCUCACAAAAAUUAAAUUCAUCACUCUUCACCUUUCAGUAAGGCCAAGCAUCAGGCUCAUGAAUUCCAGAUGUUUUAUAGCCCCUUGGCUGCUACGUGUGACCUUUCCGUUUGAUAGAUCCCUGUCCAUAAUCCAAAAUCAACAAAAAAACGGUGUUUUAAUGAGGGUCUUUCUUGCUUCGAUAAAUACUGGAAACAGCAUCAAAAGCAGUUUUCAAAAUACGUUUCUUUUUCUCUUUUGACCCCCUUUUAUUGUAAAUCUCUGUAGUGACUUACUCUGUCAGCAAAAUAAGGCAUCAGAUUUGUAGAUAGACAAGACUUUGGCUUUAGCUUAAUAGAAAGUCACAUGUGAAUAUCCAGAUAAGAGUUCAUGCCCGGAUUUAACAGAAAUUUGGAGUCAGAGUCUUGAUGUGACUGAACAGCAAGGGCCUCCUGCAAGGUACUCCAUUCCCCCUCAAGGUAUUAGACAACGUGGCAGGACAGCACCUUAAAUCCCCGGUGUGCCAGGCUCUAAGCACACCCUGGCGAAUGCUAAAAGCCAUUGAGAAGUCACAAGCAAGGACUACCGCAUCUAGUGCAAGCCUAAGGGGCAGGAUGCCACUGUCGGUGCAGUUCCUUUUGUGUCCCCGGCAGUGUAACAGCAGCCAGUGUCCAUCCAAAAUGCUUCAGAAACCAUUUGACUGAUGGUAGUGGUGUGGAUUCAGGUGUGCGCGCGCUGUGUGGUUAUUGUUUUUACAAUGCUCUGAUUUCACUGAGGCGAAACGGGGACAAGGUGGCAGCCUACCAGUGUCACAUCCUUUAUGCUCCCUCCACAGCUGGCAGGCAGGCAUGCCGCUGCCUGCCAUUAUCUAAAGGAUGUGGCAGGGACGCAGUGUCAGACAGAAGCACGAGCGUAUUCCUCUCUCUUUUUCACUCCUGUGCACUCGCUACACGUGUACCGCUCCUCUCGUCACCUGCCCGGCAGGUCCUGCGUGCGUCCGCAGGCAGAGCCUGACCCUCUGCCGCGUUGGGAUGAUGGCUCUGCUUUUCCAGCAUUGGGGCGCAAGGAACUUGUCUAAGCUGGAGGGACUACGACUGUUGAUGUUUCUCUGCAAGAGCCAGGUACUUGCAGGCUCUGAAACAAAAAUAAGCAUUUUGGAAAGAGAAAAUGUUUGGUUAUGCGCAACUGUUGAAAAUGAUGUGCAAACACCUGAACAACAUUUAAAGCCUACCUUCCUUUUUUUUUUUUUUUGACUGGGGCAGCAGCUGGCUGAAUUGGCAUUUCAGAUGCGAUCCCAAGCAGUUUUUGGCAAGCGGUUUAAUAGUUACAUAGCAAGUAAUGCAAGGAGUUUCAGAGAUGUGGUAUAGUUUUAUGUUUACUCAAAAAAAAGUUAAAAUUAUUUCUAAUUAGUCCAUUUCACAUUGAGUGGCAGAUAGAGAUAUAUUUUGUUUAAUCACUAUCUAAUACAGAGGCUUCUGUGAAAGAAAAGGUUUAUUUGUAGCAUUGGGUGCAUUUCUCCUUUUUAAAGACUGUCUUUGCACCUAUAGUGUCCUUUUUUUGUGAGCUGGGAAUUGUAAAAAAAUGUAAAGUAGAAAAGGACGUGUUUCUUAGACGAAGGAGAAAUACUGUAAAAUUGUGUAAAUGUCACUACUCAUGUUUUUUCGUGUUCUGUGUAGCAUAGUGUAAAAUAGGCUUUCCAGCAGUGUUAUUCUGUGAAUUGUAAUUUAAAAACCAAGCCAUGCAUGGUCAGAGAUAUUAUCUACAGGUCCUUCCGUUUGGUUGAGUUUUUGGUUUUGUUUGUUGUUUUCUCAUUUUAGGUAAAUUUGUUUUAUGUUAAAUUUAAUUGUCCAUGAAACUGCAUUUUUUGUUUCCUGAGUUUUAUUUCAUAAAGAACUUGAAUUACUCUUUAAGAUUUUAUUACACAUGAAGCUCACCUACCGUUUGUAUUGAUCCUUCAGAAGCUUUCUCACAUUUAGUGUAAACCCGGGGUGGGGGUUCUUUUUAACACACCCCUCAUCUGCCUCUUCUCCUUUCCCCACUUUACUGUCUGGAAAGAUGCAGUCACACUUUUUUAUUUUUAUUUUUUUCUGUGCCACGCAGGGUCAAUACGGAAAACCGACCGCAGACCUGUGUCCAAAAUUUCUUGAUAUAAGUAGUUAAAAAGCUCACCUCUACAGCAUUAUGUAAACACAUCUUGCAAUAAAGCUUUAUAAAGCAC